GAGAUUUGAUCCUUGUCCCUGUGUCCUGGCGUCUGAGGGGUUUGCGGGCGGGAGGCUGUUACUGGGAGGUGGAGAAGCCGCGCUCGAUGGCAGUGGCCCCAACGUGGGGCAAGGCGGCACCAGAGGCAACGACGCUGUCUUCCAGGUCAAGUGAACGUGAAGUUAAAGAACAUGGAAAGAAGAAAACCUCUAACUGUUACUGGAGCUGAAGCAGAGAGGCCGGAUAACCACGGGCUAGG
Non-coding RNA from Chelonoidis abingdonii (Abingdon island giant tortoise), 239 nucleotides. The record is from RefSeq and is a predicted model, not a curated record. NCBI's taxonomy places the organism in Eukaryota, Metazoa, Chordata, Testudines, Testudinidae.